UUGAACGCUGGCGGCAGGCCUAACACAUGCAAGUCGAGCGGAUGAAGGGAGCUUGCUCCUGGAUUCAGCGGCGGACGGGUGAGUAAUGCCUAGGAAUCUGCCUGGUAGUGGGGGAUAACGUCCGGAAACGGGCGCUAAUACCGCAUACGUCCUGAGGGAGAAAGUGGGGGAUCUUCGGACCUCACGCUAUCAGAUGAGCCUAGGUCGGAUUAGCUAGUUGGUGGGGUAAAGGCCUACCAAGGCGACGAUCCGUAACUGGUCUGAGAGGAUGAUCAGUCACACUGGAACUGAGACACGGUCCAGACUCCUACGGGAGGCAGCAGUGGGGAAUAUUGGACAAUGGGCGAAAGCCUGAUCCAGCCAUGCCGCGUGUGUGAAGAAGGUCUUCGGAUUGUAAAGCACUUUAAGUUGGGAGGAAGGGCAGUAAGUUAAUACCUUGCUGUUUUGACGUUACCAACAGAAUGAGCACCGGCUAACUUCGUG
RNAcentral lists this ribosomal RNA (483 nucleotides) under uncultured bacterium. RNAcentral describes it as "partial 16S ribosomal RNA". It matches the Rfam family "Bacterial small subunit ribosomal RNA", at positions 30 to 507 of the family's 1533-position model. The record is from RNAcentral.